RNAcentral lists this ribosomal RNA (193 nucleotides) under Clytia hemisphaerica. RNAcentral's name for it is "eukaryotic small subunit ribosomal RNA". Lineage: Eukaryota; Metazoa; Cnidaria; Hydrozoa; Leptothecata; Clytiidae. The record is from RNAcentral.
GAUUCUAUGGGUGGAGUGAUUUGUCUGGUUAAUUCCGUUAACCAACGAGAUCUUGCCCGGUUAAAUUCAUUAUUCCUUAUCCCCAUUAUUCCUAUUGAAAAAUGGAAAUAUUGAGGAGCUGAAACCAUACAAGUCAGCUCAAGUUUCUUGGAGGAAAAAUGACCAUUGCGGAGCUACAAUCAUGGACAAAACA